RNAcentral lists this ribosomal RNA (480 nucleotides) under Rhinocheilus lecontei (longnose snake). RNAcentral describes it as "partial 16S ribosomal RNA". It matches the Rfam family "Bacterial large subunit ribosomal RNA", at positions 1809 to 2607 of the family's 2925-position model. The record is from RNAcentral. Lineage: Eukaryota; Metazoa; Chordata; Lepidosauria; Squamata; Colubridae.
AAAAACAUAACCUUUAGCCAAACAAAUAUUAAAGGCAACGCCUGCCCAGUGAACAAUUAAACGGCCGCGGUACCCUAACCGUGCAAAGGUAGCAUAAUCAUUUGUCUACUAAUUAUAGACCUGUAUGAAAGGCAAAAUGAGGGUCCAACUGUCUCUUAUAAUAAAUCAAUUAAACUGAUCUCCUAGUAAAAAAGCUAGAAUAAUACCAUAAGACCAGAAGACCCUGUGAAGCUUAAAUUAAACUACUAAAUCACAUAGUAAUUACUUUCGGUUGGGGCGACCUCGGAAAAAAACAAAACUUCCAAGACCCAGUAAAACUGACAAUUGAACCAAGUUACUCCAGGGAUAACAGCGCAAUCUUCUUCAAGAGCCCAUAUCAAAAAGAAGGUUUACGACCUCGAUGUUGGAUCAGGACAUCCUAAUGGUGCAGCCGCUAUUAAGGGUUCGUUUGUUCAACGAUUAACAGUCCUACGUGAUCUG